Molecule: ribosomal RNA, 2925 nt
Filed under: Escherichia coli 9.1649
Lineage: Bacteria; Pseudomonadati; Pseudomonadota; Gammaproteobacteria; Enterobacterales; Enterobacteriaceae
Description: bacterial LSU rRNA
Rfam family: Bacterial large subunit ribosomal RNA
Source: RNAcentral
UGAAACAUCUUCGGGUUGUGAGGUUAAGCGACUAAGCGUACACGGUGGAUGCCCUGGCAGUCAGAGGCGAUGAAGGACGUGCUAAUCUGCGAUAAGCGUCGGUGAGGUGAUAUGAACCGUUAUAACCGGCGAUUUCCGAAUGGGGAAACCCAGUGUGUUUCGACACACUAUCAUUAACUGAAUCCAUAGGUUAAUGAGGCGAACCGGGGGAACUGAAACAUCUAAGUACCCCGAGGAAAAGAAAUCAACCGAGAUUCCCCCAGUAGCGGCGAGCGAACGGGGAGGAGCCCAGAGCCUGAAUCAGUGUGUGUGUUAGUGGAAGCGUCUGGAAAGGCGUGCGAUACAGGGUGACAGCCCCGUACACAAAAAUGCACAUAUUGUGAGCUCGAUGAGUAGGGCGGGACACGUGGUAUCCUGUCUGAAUAUGGGGGGACCAUCCUCCAAGGCUAAAUACUCCUGACUGACCGAUAGUGAACCAGUACCGUGAGGGAAAGGCGAAAAGAACCCCGGCGAGGGGAGUGAAAAAGAACCUGAAACCGUGUACGUACAAGCAGUGGGAGCCUCUUAAUGGGGUGACUGCGUACCUUUUGUAUAAUGGGUCAGCGACUUAUAUUCUGUAGCAAGGUUAACCGAAUAGGGGAGCCGAAGGGAAACCGAGUCUUAACUGGGCGUUAAGUUGCAGGGUAUAGACCCGAAACCCGGUGAUCUAGCCAUGGGCAGGUUGAAGGUUGGGUAACACUAACUGGAGGACCGAACCGACUAAUGUUGAAAAAUUAGCGGAUGACUUGUGGCUGGGGGUGAAAGGCCAAUCAAACCGGGAGAUAGCUGGUUCUCCCCGAAAGCUAUUUAGGUAGCGCCUCGUGAAUUCAUCUCCGGGGGUAGAGCACUGUUUCGGCAAGGGGGUCAUCCCGACUUACCAACCCGAUGCAAACUGCGAAUACCGGAGAAUGUUAUCACGGGAGACACACGGCGGGUGCUAACGUCCGUCGUGAAGAGGGAAACAACCCAGACCGCCAGCUAAGGUCCCAAAGUCAUGGUUAAGUGGGAAACGAUGUGGGAAGGCCCAGACAGCCAGGAUGUUGGCUUAGAAGCAGCCAUCAUUUAAAGAAAGCGUAAUAGCUCACUGGUCGAGUCGGCCUGCGCGGAAGAUGUAACGGGGCUAAACCAUGCACCGAAGCUGCGGCAGCGACACUAUGUGUUGUUGGGUAGGGGAGCGUUCUGUAAGCCUGUGAAGGUGGCCUGUGAGGGUUGCUGGAGGUAUCAGAAGUGCGAAUGCUGACAUAAGUAACGAUAAAGCGGGUGAAAAGCCCGCUCGCCGGAAGACCAAGGGUUCCUGUCCAACGUUAAUCGGGGCAGGGUGAGUCGACCCCUAAGGCGAGGCCGAAAGGCGUAGUCGAUGGGAAACAGGUUAAUAUUCCUGUACUUGGUGUUACUGCGAAGGGGGGACGGAGAAGGCUAUGUUGGCCGGGCGACGGUUGUCCCGGUUUAAGCGUGUAGGCUGGUUUUCCAGGCAAAUCCGGAAAACCAAGGCUGAGGCGUGAUGACGAGGCACUACGGUGCUGAAGCGACAAAUGCCCUGCUUCCAGGAAAAGCCUCUAAGCAUCAGGUAACAUCAAAUCGUACCCCAAACCGACACAGGUGGUCAGGUAGAGAAUACCAAGGCGCUUGAGAGAACUCGGGUGAAGGAACUAGGCAAAAUGGUGCCGUAACUUCGGGAGAAGGCACGCUGAUAUGUAGGUGAAGCGACUUGCUCGUGGAGCUGAAAUCAGUCGAAGAUACCAGCUGGCUGCAACUGUUUAUUAAAAACACAGCACUGUGCAAACACGAAAGUGGACGUAUACGGUGUGACGCCUGCCCGGUGCCGGAAGGUUAAUUGAUGGGGUUAGCGGUAACGCGAAGCUCUUGAUCGAAGCCCCGGUAAACGGCGGCCGUAACUAUAACGGUCCUAAGGUAGCGAAAUUCCUUGUCGGGUAAGUUCCGACCUGCACGAAUGGCGUAAUGAUGGCCAGGCUGUCUCCACCCGAGACUCAGUGAAAUUGAACUCGCUGUGAAGAUGCAGUGUACCCGCGGCAAGACGGAAAGACCCCGUGAACCUUUACUAUAGCUUGACACUGAACAUUGAGCCUUGAUGUGUAGGAUAGGUGGGAGGCUUUGAAGUGUGGACGCCAGUCUGCAUGGAGCCGACCUUGAAAUACCACCCUUUAAUGUUUGAUGUUCUAACGUUGGCCCGUAAUCCGGGUUGCGGACAGUGUCUGGUGGGUAGUUUGACUGGGGCGGUCUCCUCCUAAAGAGUAACGGAGGAGCACGAAGGUUGGCUAAUCCUGGUCGGACAUCAGGAGGUUAGUGCAAUGGCAUAAGCCAGCUUGACUGCGAGCGUGACGGCGCGAGCAGGUGCGAAAGCAGGUCAUAGUGAUCCGGUGGUUCUGAAUGGAAGGGCCAUCGCUCAACGGAUAAAAGGUACUCCGGGGAUAACAGGCUGAUACCGCCCAAGAGUUCAUAUCGACGGCGGUGUUUGGCACCUCGAUGUCGGCUCAUCACAUCCUGGGGCUGAAGUAGGUCCCAAGGGUAUGGCUGUUCGCCAUUUAAAGUGGUACGCGAGCUGGGUUUAGAACGUCGUGAGACAGUUCGGUCCCUAUCUGCCGUGGGCGCUGGAGAACUGAGGGGGGCUGCUCCUAGUACGAGAGGACCGGAGUGGACGCAUCACUGGUGUUCGGGUUGUCAUGCCAAUGGCACUGCCCGGUAGCUAAAUGCGGAAGAGAUAAGUGCUGAAAGCAUCUAAGCACGAAACUUGCCCCGAGAUGAGUUCUCCCUGAGACUUAGAGUCUCCUGAAGGAACGUUGAAGACGACGACGUUGAUAGGCCGGGUGUGUAAGCGCAGCGAUGCGUUGAGCUAACCGGUACUAAUGAACCGUGAGGCUUAACCUU